Molecule: ribosomal RNA, 384 nt
Filed under: uncultured Synergistaceae bacterium
Lineage: Bacteria; Thermotogati; Synergistota; Synergistia; Synergistales; Synergistaceae
Description: bacterial SSU rRNA
Rfam family: Bacterial small subunit ribosomal RNA
Source: RNAcentral
UUUAAUCGACUCUGCAGUAAUGCAGAGAGCCUGCACAGGUGCUGCAUGGCUGUCGUCAGCUCGUGUCGUGAGAUGUUGGGUUAAGUACCCGCAACGAGCGCAACCCCUACUUGCCAGUUGCUAACAGGAGAGCUGAGCACUCUGGCGAGACUGCCGCCGACAAGGCGGAGGAAGGUGGGGAUGACGUCAAGUCAUCAUGGCCUUUAUGCCCAGGGCUACACACGUGCUACAAUGGCCGGCACAGACGGCAGCUUAGUGGCGACACUUGGCAAUCCUCUAAAGCCGGUCCCAGUUCGGAUUGCAGUCUGCAACUCGACUGCAUGAAGCCGGAAUCGCUAGUAAUCACAGAUCAGCCAAGCUGCGGUGAAUACGUUCCCGGGCCUU